UACGUAGGGGGCAAGCGUUGUCCGGAUUUAUUGGGCGUAAAGAGCGUGUAGGCGGCCAAGCAGGUCCGCUGUGAAAACUCGAGGCUCAACCUCGAGAGGUCGGUGGAAACCGUUUGGCUAGAGUCCGGAAGAGGAGAGUGGAAUUCCCGGUGUAGCGGUGAAAUGCGCAGAUAUCGGGAAGAACACCCGUGGCGAAGGCGGCUCUCUGGGACGGUACUGACGCUGAUGCACGAAAGCUAGGGGAGCAAACAGG
RNAcentral lists this ribosomal RNA (253 nucleotides) under uncultured bacterium. RNAcentral describes it as "partial 16S ribosomal RNA". It matches the Rfam family "Bacterial small subunit ribosomal RNA", at positions 524 to 776 of the family's 1533-position model. The record is from RNAcentral.